This 859-nucleotide long non-coding RNA is filed under the name Equus asinus (donkey). Its description in RNAcentral is "lncRNA (ENSEASG00005035669.1)". The record is from RNAcentral. Lineage: Eukaryota; Metazoa; Chordata; Mammalia; Perissodactyla; Equidae.
ACCACGCCCCCCAACCCCGCGCGCCAGCCGGGAGCGGGGCCUGGCGGCCUUGGGGGCCGGCUGAGCUCCCGGCGCGGCGGUCUGAAGAGUUGGCGGACGGGCGGUCGAAGCGCCGAGCCCGGGGCGGGAGACGGCGGCCGCGCUGACCUCUCGGCUUUGCGGGGCUUGGCGCAGAGGCCCGCGGGGUUCACUUCCUUGAAAGUGAAGAAAGUGAAAGAAACCUUUCUUGACUACUCCAUGGGCAAUAACAACCCCACCUACUCUUUUUUCUUAACAGGAAUUAGUUUAUUCAUGAUGAACUACACACUUUUGUUUGGAAAACUGCAUUCCUUCUUACAGCUUCAAUAACACUAUGAUGUUCCCUGAUUAACACCUUAAACGAGAGAUUUUGUGAUUAAAGAUGGGAGCAGCAGGCAAGAAAAAUUCAUAGAUCAUGCUGCAGAUUCCAGCACUGGCAAAUGGAUGGAUAUUGGUGCAUUUUAUUAAACUAGAGACCAUAGGAUUUCUCACAGACAUAUUUGCGAGAAAAGUUGAUACUCGGAACCGCUGACAAAAUGCAACUAUCUGAGGAUUCUAAAAAUUAAAAGAUGGCUGAGAAAUUGGAAUAUAGCCAGCCCUCCAUAUCCAUGGAUUGCACACCUUCUGAUUCCACAUCCAUGGAUUUAACCAACUCUGGAUCAUAAUCUGCAGAUUUGGAACCCAUGGAUACAGGGGGCUGACAAAGGGAAUUGAGCAUCUGUGGAUUUGGUAUCCACUGUGGGUCCUGGAAUCAAUCCCCUGUGAAUACCAAGGGGUGACUGUAUAUCAGUAUUGCAUUUGUAAAUAUCUAUCACACUUAGUUUAAAUAAAGUUUAUAACG